UACGAGGGGGGCAAGCGUUGUUCGGAAUUAUUGGGCGUAAAGGGCGCGUAGGCGGUGCGGUAAGUCACCUGUGAAACCUCUAGGCUUAACCUAGAGCCUGCAGGCGAAACUGCCGUGCUUGAGGGUGGGAGAGGUGCGUGGAAUUCCCGGUGUAGCGGUGAAAUGCGUAGAUAUUGGGAAGAACACCGGUGGCGAAGGCGGCGACCUGGUCCGAUACUGACGCUGAGGAGCGAAAGCCAGGGGAGCAAACGGG
Molecule: ribosomal RNA, 253 nt
Filed under: uncultured bacterium
Lineage: Bacteria
Description: partial 16S ribosomal RNA
Rfam family: Bacterial small subunit ribosomal RNA
Source: RNAcentral